GCUGCCUGAACAGGCAAAAUCCAACGGGCAGCGAUGUCCAUCUUGUUCCUAACAUAAAUCUCUCUGAGCGUCGCGAAACUUCGGAAACGCUUAGCACCUUCUGGAAGUCAGGCGCGAUCGUAUUCAUCGUGUCCCUGCAGUGAAAUGCCUGACCUACCCUGAAUGCAGUGGAUCUGACAGUGGGUGGAAAGUGGUGACUCAGACAUUGUCACAAUGUUGAAACUCAUCUGUCUGGAAGGGUGUUCUGCCAUGUGGUGCGGGAGAAGGAGAUGGCAUGAGGGAGGGAAGAGGAGGUGCCGUUUCUUGGAUUAGAGCUUUUGUAAGCUUCCAGAAGAGAGGAAACUCAGAUGUUUAGCUGGCAGCAGUUGGUGAUGAGGGAAGAACCUUGGCUCAGUUCCCUGUUGGGCGCAGGGAGCAGUUUCCCUCCAUCUGUUAGGAGCUUCUGAUUAGAUGAGGUAAUGAGAAUGAAGAAACCAGAGAUGUGAGUCAUGAAAGGAUCUGGGUGAACUGAAUCUGAUGGAGGAAGAGCUUGCAUGAGAGCAUGUUUUAUGGCCAAAACCAUUUUGUCUUUGACUGAUAAACUAAGUGAUGCAGAAGUUCUCAGCAUGGAAAAAGUAAUGGUCCUAAAACAUCUUAGGAAAAAAACCCAGUCUUUCUCUUCUGAGUGGAAGGGAGAUGUCCUCUGGCGUGUUUCAGUGCCUGAUGACUGUCCUCAGCAUUCUUGAUAAAUCCCCAUGCCUACUACACUCGUCCUCACAGCAUGAGCCCAUCUUCACUCCAGGCAGAGUGACUGGGAGCCCCUGAAAAGGAGCUGGGGGCCAAGUUCAAAUGCCUCACUUUCUGGGCUGUGACCUUCUGUCCAGGGAGCUCUCAUCAGGAGCCCACACAUCUCACCAGGGUUAAACACUCUGAGGAAGGAGGUCUUACCCCCUUGCAUUAAAAAUGUUGGAAAGACUCCAGAAAGGUUUCCCUAGUUUCUAGAAGCAACACGAGCUCUUUGGUCCUAUGGUAACAAAAAUCACAAUGCAGGGACUAAGCUUGGCAGUUUGAUAACAUUCUGUACAGCAGAAGAGAACUAUUGCCUGGGAGAGCAGAGCAGCUCUUAUCAACACGUGAUCAUCUUCUCUCCGAGCUGUUUGCAGCACUGAGACCAAGCCUCUGAAAGGCACAGAGCAGCAGUGCACUGCUUUUUUCUAUUUCAUUUCCCUCAGUACCUUAUAAGACAUCCUAGGUUGUUCUCAAAUGCUCAUGCACCUGUCUCUCCCUAAGAAAUCUUGCUGAAGGCGUGGAUGUAGCACCAUGAAAUCAAAUGGCAAAGAUGCUAAAAGUCAGGCCCAAGGUUCUCCUCUAACCCCCAUUCUUGAAGCCAACAUUGGUUAUCUGUUGACAUGAAUACCUGGUGUGCAUUUAUUAUUGUAUUAUCAGGAAUUAGCUGUUGAUGUGAGGAAGUUUUGAUUAUGUGAGCUGCGAAGAUCAUGCUAAA
Long non-coding RNA from Myiozetetes cayanensis, 1483 nucleotides. RefSeq lists it as uncharacterized. The transcript has 3 exons. The record is from RefSeq and is a predicted model, not a curated record. NCBI's taxonomy places the organism in Eukaryota, Metazoa, Chordata, Aves, Passeriformes, Tyrannidae.